UGUGGGAGCCAGCCUGCUGGCGAUGCAGGCGCUGCGGUCAGUCAGAUACACCGCGCUGAUGCCAUCGCCAGCAGGCUGGCUCCCACA
This 87-nucleotide unclassified non-coding RNA is filed under the name Pseudomonas granadensis. The record is from RNAcentral. Lineage: Bacteria; Pseudomonadati; Pseudomonadota; Gammaproteobacteria; Pseudomonadales; Pseudomonadaceae.